GAUGAACGCUGGCGGCGUGCCUAAUACAUGCAAGUCGAGCGAACAGACGAGGAGCUUGCUCCUCUGACGUUAGCGGCGGACGGGUGAGUCACACGUGGAUAACCUACCUAUAAGACUGGGAUAACUUCGGGACACCGGAGCUUAUACCGGAUAAUAUAUUGAACCGCAUGGUUCAAUAGUGAAAGACGGUUUUGCUGUCACUUAUAGAUGGAUCCGCGCCGCAUUAGCUAGUUGGUAAGGUAACGGCUUACCAAGGCAACGAUGCGUAGCCGACCUGAGAGGGUGAUCGGCCACACUGGAACUGAGACACGGUCCAGAGUCCUACGCGAGGCAGCAGUAGGGAAUCGGCCGCAAUGGGCGAAAGCCUGACGGAGCAACGCCGCGUGAGUGAUGAAGGUCUUCGGAUCGUAAAACUCUGUUAUUAGGGAAGAACAAAUGUGGAAGUAACUAUGCACGUCUUGACGGUACCUAAUCAGAAAGCCACGGCUAACUACGUG
Molecule: ribosomal RNA, 497 nt
Filed under: uncultured bacterium
Lineage: Bacteria
Description: partial 16S ribosomal RNA
Rfam family: Bacterial small subunit ribosomal RNA
Source: RNAcentral